RNAcentral lists this long non-coding RNA (1186 nucleotides) under Lathyrus oleraceus (garden pea). RNAcentral describes it as "Pisum sativum (pea) long non-coding RNA (PSAT_LNC018107)". The record is from RNAcentral. Lineage: Eukaryota; Viridiplantae; Streptophyta; Magnoliopsida; Fabales; Fabaceae.
UUAUACAUCUUUAUAUGAGUACAUCAAACACCACAUUGAGCAUCAAUCUAGACAUUGUCAAACAUCACUUUGACCAUUAUUUAUCACUAUUAUAACCACCUUUCAUCACCACUUUAUCCAUCUAUGAUCUAUAAUUUGACCACGAUCGACUACCAUUAUGAUUACCACUCAGUAGACCAUCAUCAAAUGCCCUUAUGGCCAUUGCUAACUGAUCGGUCACCAUUUCCAUUGAAUUUCCACCGUUAAUCCGACAUAUUUUCAUCACUUUGGUAAGAUUUAUGUUUGUUUUUAGUUGCUUUGGAGUCAUUUAUCAUGUUUUGUUGGUUUGAUAUCACAUUGCAUUCGAUUACAAGUUUAUGUCAAAAAGAUCUCGUUUAUGCUUCGUUUGGUAGUGUCAUUGUUACAGGCCACUGCACAGGUUUAAAAGCAAUAAUGGUGAAGUUAUGGAUACUCAGAAAGGCAAAAAUAUGAAGAAACAAGAGGUCAACACGGGCACCCUUAUGCCACAACACUGCCCGUGUUGUUGAUCAGACAGAGCAAAAUGGGAGAAGAAAAACAGAGAUCAACACGGGCACCUGUGUGUCACCACACGGUCGUGUUGAUUAAAAUAGUGCAUUAACACGGGCACCCGUGUGGAGGAACACGGCCCGUGUUGUUGCCUCUGUAGCCUGUGCUGAAAAUAAUUAUAAUGAAGAGCAACACGGGCACCCGUGUGGUGACACACGGCCGUGUUGAUUGGACGCGGCUUGGAAACCCUAACUUUUGCUUUGUGAACCGAUUCUGCUCAUUAAGGGUAGUUUGAACCUUUUGCUUGGAGGAGAUUCAUCUGAAGUUAUAAGAAGGCUUGGAAGAGAAAGAAGAAGGCACUUUUUGACGGACGAAAGAAAACAUUGCAUUGGAGAAGAUAGCUAUUACGAAGGAUUUGAAGGCGGCGAGAUUCAAGGGCAUCAACCAUUGAAGAUCAAAAUCUCCUAAUUCUUUGUAAUGUCUAAUUUUUACAUUAUGAAUUCUUUAAGUACUAUGAGAGGCUAAACCCCCUGAUGCUAGGGGGGUGGUCCUGAGGUUAUCGCAUGUUAUGAAUAUGAACAAAUGAUUUCUUGAUUACUAUGUUAUUUAUUUCAAUUCAAUUGUGUGAUGUUAUUAUGCUUUUGUAUCGGACAAAUACAAAUUGAUCUAUGACUUUCAA